This 301-nucleotide ribosomal RNA is filed under the name uncultured bacterium. Its description in RNAcentral is "partial 16S ribosomal RNA". It matches the Rfam family "Bacterial small subunit ribosomal RNA", at positions 509 to 807 of the family's 1533-position model. The record is from RNAcentral.
CAGUAGCCGCGGGAAUACAGAGGGUGCAAGCGUUAAUCGGAAUUACUGGGCGUAAAGUGCGCGUAGGUGGUUUGUUAAGUUGGAUGUGAAAUCCCCGGGCUCAACCUGGGAACUGCAUCCAAAACUGGCAAGCUAGAGUAUGGUAGAGGGUGGUGGAAUUUCCUGUGUAGCGGUGAAAUGCGUAGAUAUAGGAAGGAACACCAGUGGCGAAGGCGACCACCUGGACUGAUACUGACACUGAGGUGCGAAAGCGUGGGGAGCAAACAGGAUUAGAUACCCCGGUAGUCCCUGUCUCUUAUAC